Molecule: ribosomal RNA, 614 nt
Filed under: uncultured bacterium
Lineage: Bacteria
Description: bacterial SSU rRNA
Rfam family: Bacterial small subunit ribosomal RNA
Source: RNAcentral
UGCAAGUCGAGCGGCAGCGCGGGGGCAACCCUGGCGGCGAGCGGCGAACGGGUGAGUAAUGCAUCGGAACGUGUCCGGGAGUGGGGGAUAACGCCGCGAAAGCGGCGCUAAUACCGCAUAUUCUCUCUGGAGGAAAGCGGGGGACCUGCAAGGGCCUCGCGCUCGCGGAGCGGCCGAUGUCCGAUUAGCUUGUUGGUGAGGUAAAGGCUUACCAAGGCGACGAUCGGUAGCUGGUCUGAGAGGAUGAUCAGCCACACUGGGACUGAGACACGGCCCAGACUCCUACGGGAGGCAGCAGUGGGGAAUUUUGGACAAUGGGGGCAACCCUGAUCCAGCCAUGCCGCGUGCGGGAAGAAGGCCUUCGGGUUGUAAACCGCUUUUGGCCGGGAAGAAAAGGCUGAGGCUAAUACCCUCGGUUUUUGACGGUACCGGCAGAAUCGGCACCGGCUAACUACGUGCCAGCAGCCGCGGUAAUACGUAGGGUGCGAGCGUUAAUCGGAAUUACUGGGCGUAAAGCGUGCGUAGGCGGUUCGUUGUGUCUGUGGUGAAAGCCCCGGGCUUAACCUGGGAACGGCCAUGGAAACUGGCGAGCUGGAGUGUGGCAGAGGAGGGUG